Molecule: long non-coding RNA, 1995 nt
Organism: Sorex araneus (European shrew)
Lineage: Eukaryota; Metazoa; Chordata; Mammalia; Eulipotyphla; Soricidae
Exons: 4
Source: RefSeq, a predicted model, not a curated record
CGCGGGCAAAACAACACGUGACCGCGGCCUCACGCCGCGGCCGCGGCCGCUCGGGCUGCGGGCGCGGCGGAGGGGCGCGGGGGGCGGCGGGCCGAGGUCCGCUUGCUCGUGCUUAGUCCUGGAAGCCGAGCGCGUCGGGAGAAGCACGGUGCCCUGCUGGAAACGUGUUAACAGCCAGAGCCCUCAGAUCUGCCGCCCACUGAGUCGCAGACUUCCAAGCCUGCUCGAGCCUUGACAAAAGCCGCGACUCUGAGCAUCCAAUUGACAGUGAUGCCUUCUAAAUGAACCGAAACGUAACCACAGCGCAUUUCUAGUCUACGAAACGCAGGAAUAAGAAUGCUCUGUGAUUUGUUGCUGUGGCUACUGUUUGAAGAUGAUAGCUUUGCAUCUCAGCUUCCUUACUUCUGUGUUCCAAAACUGUGCUAAAACCACCAUGAAAUGCCUGACUGCUACACAUAGAGAAGGUUUAUGGACAACACCUGGCAGUGCUCAGGGGCUACUCCUGUUUCUGUGCUCAAGGGUCACUUCUGCUACCACUUAGAAAACCACAUGAAGUGCCAGCGGUUUAGUCUGUGUCCUUGCCACAUGUAAGGAAAGUUUCUUAAUCCCUGUUCUAUUUCUCUCAUCCACUGAGACCUUUAUUUUAUUCACAGUAGCUAUCCUGGUCCAUGCACUAAUAAUCAACUCUCCCAGCAAACUGAAGUGCUCUUAUCCUGGGUUUACCCUACUUGAAUUUCCAUACUGGCAGCAGGAUAUUUUUCCCAUAUGUGUCACUAUUGUCAUGUUGUUCCCUGCAAAGGGUUCCAAACCUCUCGAUCCCUUUCUUUGUUAUAUCAAAACUUAAACCCCGGUAUAUUAAAUGCUUUCUUUCCAAUUAACACUACAUCUAACCAUUUUUAUACGCUUUCUGUACAGCCUAUUCUCUCAAAUUCACCUCCCAUUUAUUAAAAUACAUAGUCACUUCCCAGGCUUCCAGUUAGAUUAUUUUCUCUUGAUGCAUUCUGCAUUUGACUUAGCCAUCACCAAUUUUACUUAGGUUAUUUCUCAUAUAUAAACGUUUUUCCCUUUCACUAGUUAAUACACAUUACCUUGUUCAAAACUAAGCUCAUGUUCACUCAGAAAACCGUCCCCCACUCACAUAAUCUCAGAAGUACUGCUUGAUUUUCUGAAACAUUGUGUAGAGAUAGAGCUAGAGAUGGUAUUUAUGAAUAGUCAUUAUUAAAUUAUUAAAUGGCAUAAUUACUAAAUGGUAACCAUUAUUAAAAUGAUAUUUUUCCAUUUUUUGGGUCACACCCGGUGAUGUACAGGGGUUACUCCUGGCUCUUCACUCAGAAAUUACUACUGGCGGUGCUCAGGGGACCAUAUGGGAUGCUGGGAAUCAAACCCGGGUCAGCCGCAUGCAAGGCAAAUGCCCUACCCGCUGUGCUAUCACUCCAGACCCUAUUAAAAUGAUAUUUUUCUCACAGUAGAAAAGACAUAUGUACCUGUAUAUUCAUUGCAGCACUGUUCACAAUAGCCAAAAUCUGUAACCAACAUGAGUGCCCUAAAACAGAUGACUGGUUAAGGAAACUUUGGUACAUCUACACAAUGGAAUACUAUGCAGCUAUUAGGAGAGAUGAAGUCAUGAAAUUUGCUUAUAAAUGGAUAGACUUGGUGAGUAUCAUGCUAAGUGAAAUGAGUCAGAAAGAGAGGGACAGACAUAGAAGGACUGCACUCAUUUGUGGAGUAUAGAAUAACAUCACAUGAGGCUGACACCCAAGGACAGUAGAUACAAGGGCCAGGGGGAUUGCCCCAUAGCUGGAAGCCUGCCUCAUGAGCAGAGAGGAGAACGCAGAUGGAGUAGAGAAGGGAUCAUUAAGAAAAUGAUGGCUGGAGGAACCAGUUGGGAUGGGAGAUGCAUGCCGAAAGUAGAUAAUGGAACAAACAUUAUGACCUCUCAGUGUCUGUGUUGCAAGCCAUAUGCCCAAAAGAAGAGAGAGAGUGUGGGGAAUAUUG